CGGGGGGGGCAAGCGUUGUUCGGAAUUACUGGGCGUAAAGGGUGCGUAGGCGGCUUUCUAAGUCGGAUGUGAAAACUCUGGGCUCAACCCAGAGCCUGCAUCUGAAACUGGAGAGCUAGGGUUCUGGAGGGGAAAGCGGAAUUCCUGGUGUAGCGGUGAAAUGCGUAGAUAUCAGGAGGAACACCGGUGGCGAAGGCGGCUUUCUGGACAGAUACCGACGCUGAGGCACGAAAGCUAGGGGAGCAAACAGGAUUAGAUACCCUGGUAGUCCUAGCCCUAAACGAUGGAUACUUGCUGUGGGGGGGAUUGAAGCCCCUUGUGGCGAAGCUAACGCAUUAAGUAUCCCGCCUGGGGAGUACGGUCGCAAGGCUG
Molecule: ribosomal RNA, 372 nt
Filed under: uncultured organism
Description: bacterial SSU rRNA
Rfam family: Bacterial small subunit ribosomal RNA
Source: RNAcentral